This is a long non-coding RNA of Humulus lupulus (European hop), 822 nucleotides long. RefSeq lists it as uncharacterized. The record is from RefSeq and is a predicted model, not a curated record. NCBI's taxonomy places the organism in Eukaryota, Viridiplantae, Streptophyta, Magnoliopsida, Rosales, Cannabaceae. The transcript is spliced from 4 exons.
UGUAAAACUUAUUUUUUUCCUCUUCCUUUUUUAAUUACAAAGUAAAAGAAUUUUCUGGGAAGAAUGCUCAGUCACUCUCUCCAUGAUCUUGUGCUCAUCUCUAGCAAUGCUGGCAGCUAAGGAAUAUUCAGUCAUUCAUAAGAUCCUAUGGUCAUUUUUCUAUACCUCAACAACCAUUUUUCUUCCUUGGAAUCCUUUCACUUUUGGGAAAAGUGAAUCUCUAUUUCGUUGACGAUCUGCCCCUACUUUUGUCUCCUUUAAUCAUCUUCGGCAUUUCCAAUCGUCUACGGUGUUUCUGAAGUCAUUUUUUGGCUCUGUCUUAUCGUCUACUACUCUGUUCUUACAAAAGAAGCCUCAGUUAUGCUUUUCCCCUUUCCCUCUUCAGCACCCCAAAGACGAACAACCAAAACCACAUCUCCUCCAUGAAAUUGAUGUUUCUCCUUACCACUCCAUAGACAGCUCGCUGAAGUUCUUUUCCUGAGACACACACAAGCAUGCACUCAAACCUCUCGGCUUCUCCUCAUCAAUCCUCGAACAGUUUAGACUUCAGAUCUUUGGAUGGUUGCCAAAUGCAUCUUGAUUUGUUUGUAUACCUGUGUGUAGUAACUAUAGCAUGGACGAGGAAUCUAAAGGUGUUUGUGGAGUUGGUUGUACAAAGAGUGUAUUUCACUAACUUUGUAUACAUUUCUUGUUUUGCAUUUGGUGAUGAUGGAAUUUUAGUUGAGUAUAAAUUAUCUUGUAAUAUGAUUUUGUAAGCUUAGACUAGUAGACUAAAUACUGUAAUUACAUUUGAGUAACUAAUAAAAAUUUAUUUAUGUUACC